This 197-nucleotide ribosomal RNA is filed under the name uncultured Bifidobacterium sp. RNAcentral describes it as "partial 16S ribosomal RNA". It matches the Rfam family "Bacterial small subunit ribosomal RNA", at positions 338 to 535 of the family's 1533-position model. Lineage: Bacteria; Bacillati; Actinomycetota; Actinomycetes; Bifidobacteriales; Bifidobacteriaceae. The record is from RNAcentral.
CCUACGGGAGGCAGCAGUGGGGAAUAUUGCACAAUGGGCGCAAGCCUGAUGCAGCGACGCCGCGUGCGGGAUGGAGGCCUUCGGGUUGUAAACCGCUUUUGUUCAAGGGCAAGGCACGGUUUUUGGCCGUGUUGAGUGGAUUGUUCGAAUAAGCACCGGCUAACUACGUGCCAGCAGCCGCGGUAAUACGUAGGUGC